Long non-coding RNA from Pomacea canaliculata, 436 nucleotides. RefSeq lists it as uncharacterized. The record is from RefSeq and is a predicted model, not a curated record. Lineage: Eukaryota; Metazoa; Mollusca; Gastropoda; Architaenioglossa; Ampullariidae. The transcript is spliced from 3 exons.
AUCUGAACUGCGCUGUUCAAAAUUCAACUUGAGAAUAACAGUCUCGAUCACCUCACUCUUAAAAUUCCCAUAGCUUCACAGAUCAUGAAGGAACAUACAGUUGUCAGACAAAGGGAGCAGAAUCUCUACCCUAUAACAACUGCUCCUUUUACCUUCAAAGAGCUCAAAAAAUAACAUCGUGUUCGAUUCAGAAUGUCACGGAAGUGCAGCCUACAGAACUACGAUGCAACUUCAAUGUUGAUGUUGGUGUGGCUCGACAAAAUUUUAAGGUGGUGCGUGAAGGCCAAGACGAGGACAUCCUGACUUGUACCUGGCCAGACGGAAAGUUAGUCUGCAGCACAGCUGAUGGAUACGAGUUUGACAACAUCGUCACCAAUCGCCUCGUCGUCAAGUACCUCGAUCCUCACCACACAGAAUGGAACGUACACCUUCACUG